UGAGAGUUUCAGUUUCCCAUUUACUUUUCACUCUUGCUGACUACCUCUCUAGUUACUAUUUAAUAAACUGUCUACUGUACACUUACCCAAGAUUUGCUCUCAGUGGAAAGUGUUUCUUUACACUGCAAGUUACAUAGGACAGCAGCAUUUCUCCUGUGUAGUCAAGUGCUAUUCACUACCACUUAUGCAUCUUUCUGGGAUUAUGAAUACCAUUUCCCAAAGAGAAAGAGAGGAGGAAGAUGCAAAAGCAAACAAAAGAUCAUUUCACCAGAGCUGCCAGUAACACUCCAGAGCCUGGUAACAAAAGAACAGCAGAGAUUGCUUUGAAAUAAACAUAAUGAAGGAAAAAGAAGGAAAUCCCACAACAGGUGAAUGUAGGAAUUGAAGGCAGAGACCUGAGCCAAAUCAUCGGUUUAUGUGUAUUUCUGGAAUUACCAACUCAGAGAGAUGCUACCUCAAACCAGACCUUCAAUGCAUCGCCACUGCCUUUUCCUGGACACCAUACUUCUGCAUCAGAUGGCAACACAUGCCAUUUCCCUAUUUACUGCUAUACCUUAACCACACAGCAGCUGGCAAAUCCAAGUCAGAAGCUCCCUCCAUAGCCAGUGAGUUUGCCCUAGGUGCAUGCAAAACACCGCUGCCAGUUGCAGCAGCUUCCUCGCUGCAGUACCCAGCCCUCUGGCCAGCAGUCAGUGCCAGCUGAGCCAGGAUGUUACGAGUAG
Molecule: long non-coding RNA, 722 nt
Organism: Oxyura jamaicensis (ruddy duck)
Lineage: Eukaryota; Metazoa; Chordata; Aves; Anseriformes; Anatidae
Exons: 2
Source: RefSeq, a predicted model, not a curated record